GACGAACGCUGGCGGCGUGCCUAAUACAUGCAAGUAGAACGCUGAAGAGAGGAGCUUACUCUUCUUGGAUUAGUUGCGGACGGGUGAGUAACGCGUAGGUAACCUGCCUUUUAGCGGGGGAUAACUAUUGGAAACGAUAGCUAAUACCGCAUAACAAUGGAUGACACAUGUCUUUUAUUUGAAAGGCGCAAUUGCUCCACUACAAGAUGGACCUGCGUUGUAUUUCUAGUAGGUGAGGUAAUGGGUCAACUAAGGGAAGGUACAUAGCCGAACCGUGAGGGUGGUCGGCCAAACUGGGACCGGGACACGGCCCAGGCUCCUGAGGGAGGCAGCAGUAGGGAAUCUUCGGGAAUGGGGGGAAAGCUGGCCGAGCAAAGCCGCGGGAGUGGAGAAGGUUUUCGGGUCGUAAAGCUCUGUUGUAAGGGGAGAACGAGUGGGAGAGUGGAAAGUUCACGUUGUGACGGUAGCUUAUCAGAAAGCGACGGCUAACUACGUG
RNAcentral lists this ribosomal RNA (496 nucleotides) under uncultured bacterium. RNAcentral's name for it is "partial 16S ribosomal RNA". It matches the Rfam family "Bacterial small subunit ribosomal RNA", at positions 28 to 507 of the family's 1533-position model. The record is from RNAcentral.